This 468-nucleotide ribosomal RNA is filed under the name uncultured bacterium. RNAcentral describes it as "partial 16S ribosomal RNA". It matches the Rfam family "Bacterial small subunit ribosomal RNA", at positions 28 to 507 of the family's 1533-position model. The record is from RNAcentral.
GACGAACGCUGGCGGCGUGCUUAACACAUGCAAGUCGAACGGAAAGGCCCUGCUUUUGUUGGUUGCUCGAGUGGCGAACGGGUGAGUAACACGUGAGUAACCUGCCCUUGACUUUGGGAUAACUUCAGGAAACUGGGGCUAAUACCGGAUAGGAGCUCCUGCUGCAUGGUGGGGGUUGGAAAGUUUCGGCGGUUGGGGAUGGACUCGCGGCUUAUCAGCUUGUUUGUGUGGUAGUUGCUUACCAAGGCUUUGACGGGUAGCCGGCCUGAGAGGGUGACCGGCCACAUGGGGACUGAGAGACGGCCCAGACUCCUACGGGAGGCAGUAGUGGGGAAUAUGGCACAAUGGGCGGAAGCCUGAGGCAGCAACGCCGCGUGCGGGAUGACGGCCUUCGGGUGGUAAACCGACUUCGCCGGUGACGAAGCGUGAGUGACGGUAAUGGGUAAAGAAGCACCGGCUAACUACGUG